AUUGAACGCUGGCGGCAUGCCUUACACAUGCAAGUCGAACGGUAACAGGUCUUCGGAUGCUGACGAGUGGCGAACGGGUGAGUAAUACAUCGGAACGUGCCCAGACGUGGGGGAUAACGAGGCGAAAGCUUUGCUAAUACCGCAUACGAUCUAAGGAUGAAAGCAGGGGACCGCAAGGCGUUGCGCGUUUGGAGCGGCCGAUGGCAGAUUAGGUAGUUGGUGGGAUAAAAGCUUACCAAGCCGACGAUCUGUAGCUGGUCUGAGAGGACGACCAGCCACACUGGGACUGAGACACGGCCCAGACUCCUACGGGAGGCAGCAGUGGGGAAUUUUGGACAAUGGGCGAAAGCCUGAUCCAGCAAUGCCGCGUGCAGGAUGAAGGCCUUCGGGUUGUAAACUGCUUUUGUACGGAACGAAAAGGCUCUGGCUAAUACCUGGGGCACAUGACGGUACCGUAAGAAUAAGCACCGGCUAACUACGUG
RNAcentral lists this ribosomal RNA (482 nucleotides) under uncultured bacterium. Its description in RNAcentral is "partial 16S ribosomal RNA". It matches the Rfam family "Bacterial small subunit ribosomal RNA", at positions 30 to 507 of the family's 1533-position model. The record is from RNAcentral.